Long non-coding RNA from Canis lupus familiaris (dog), 2677 nucleotides. RefSeq lists it as uncharacterized. The transcript has 8 exons. Lineage: Eukaryota; Metazoa; Chordata; Mammalia; Carnivora; Canidae. The record is from RefSeq and is a predicted model, not a curated record.
CUUAGCAGCUUGCGUAGGGAAUUAACAAAUUGACGGGGUGGGGGCUCGUUUCUGGUUUAGCUUUUAGCCCAGAGUGAGUGGGAACCAGGAGGGGGUCGGGGAAGCUGAGUUGGGACCAGGUGGGACCAGCUAAAGCCCUCCCUGCCCAUUGCCGCGCCUAGGGGAAGCCCCAUGUCAUCAUGUGUCCCGUGUACCUUUUCCAAAAGGGCCAAGAGCCACCUCUAGAAACAGCCACAGGAGAAGUUUGCACCUCAGUUGUGCAGUUUGCAAGUUACAGUACAGGAGGCCACAUGCAUUACCCCAGAUGACAUGGCCAGUGUCACACGGGCCAAGAUGGGAAUGCAGAUACCCAGAGUGACCGGCAGCUCUCUUUCAUGAAGCUUUUCUUGGCUCUCUUCAGUGGGUUUGCCUUGAAGCUCCACGGUUUGUGGAUCUUAAAGAGCUCUUCUUCCCUUUCUUUCAACCCUACCACCCUUGUAUCUGAAUUCUUUGACCUACUAGGAGUGGAGGUAGAUGCAGUAACAUGCAUUUUUGCAAGCCUUGCAUCAACCUCAAUAUAUUGAAAUUCUCCUCGGCUUCAAAGAUUAUGUAGCUGCCCAGUUUUCUGAGAAACCACCUCCAGAUGGUUGGCCUGACUGUAUAGUUUGAUAAUGUCCCAGUUUCCACAGGAUAAGUGACAACACAGGUGAACAGAGAAAUGAUCGCCUUGGUGUAGCACCUUACAGCUUAGAACAGACUUUCACACACAUUAGCUCCAUUUGUGCUCACGAGAAAAUGUAAGGUGACAAGCCUACUUAAGGCCACCAGAGAUCCACCUACAGGGGAUGGAGCUGAUCCAACAGGCAAAGAGCAAACAAGCUCUUGAAAAGCGAAAAUCAACAAACAGGAAGGAGAAAUUAUCCAGAUGUUAUACAGCUGUGCUGCAAAGGGAAGUCACAGAGGCAGUGAAGGACUCAGCACAGAGUUGGGCCAAAGGGAUCACAGGGAAUAAAAAUUCCAAUCCCAGGCUGAGAGAGGGAAAGUCAGUGUACUUGGAGCAUCCGAGGAGUAGCAGCCACAAAGACCCCUCAUAGGAUGUGCAUCACAGAGUCCAGCUGAACACUCCUUUGUCCAGGAUUCUUUGCCCGGCCACUUGUUGAUUAGCAAUUUGGUUUGCUUUCUGUGUUCCUUUGCUGGAGGAACACAUCAAUACUGAAAACAGUCCUCAAGCCCCUUACCCCCCCUUAGAAGCUUGCCACCCCAAGACCUGCAGUCUGGAACCCAAGCUAAAUACAAGUUGACCUUGGGCAGCCUGGGAGUUGGGCGCCCAUUUCCCACACCAUCAAAAAUCCACCCAUGUCUUUUGACUCCCCCAAAACUUGACUGCUAAUGGCCUAUUGUGGACUGGAAGCCUUGCUGAUGACAUCGACAGUCGAUCAACACCUGGUUUGUAUGUUAUGUGUGAUAUACUUGUAAUACUGCUGUAUUAAAGUGAGCUGUGGAAAGGAAGAUGUCAUUAAGAAGAUCAUGAGGAAGGGACGCCUGGGUGGCUCAGCAGUUGGUACUCCAGAGUGGCUUCUAGGAACUAAAAGUGAUCCCUGGUCAACAGCCAGAAAAGUAGUGCGGCCCUCCAUCCUAGAGCUCCCAGAAACUGAAUUCUGCUGGCCACCUGAAUACCUUGCAAAAUGGUUUUUCUCCAAAGCCUCCAGAUCAGAAGCUCCUUAGGACCCAAGAUCUGGUUGGUUCCACUUGCUGGUGUUUCCUAGGAUCUAGAACGAUGUCUGGCACAUAGUCAAUUCUUAAUACAUACUUGGUAAACUAAUAUUAUCACUACUCCCAUCAUGAAAUUCAGAUCAACUACUUAUUAACUUCAACAGUUGUUCACAUAGUAUGCAAAAGAAGUCUGAAGAUAACGUGGCAUGAUCAAGAACAAAGAAGGAAAGAUGUCAGACAGUACCAACACACAAUACUAGCCUUUUUACCAGGCUCACAUAAGACAAUCACAGCUGCCCCGAGCAGAAGCACCAGCAUAACGGAGGAUGUGAUCAACAGGGCAGUCUUGGUAUGCUCACCGGCAGGCCCUAUUUCACUUGACUGAAGGAUACACUCCUCUGUUGGAAGAAGGGCAGAGAGGGGAAGGGUGGAGGAGAAGAAAUGGAAUGAGGAAAAUUAAUUUCUGAGAGGCGAGAAUAAAAGAGUAUGAGAGCACCAGGGAAAAAACUAGCAGGCUCUGUUGGAUGUACAAGUUAAAAUACAGGGAUCUGCAAGAACUGUGCGACCUAAAAAGAUUGUUUUGAAAUUUCCUCAGAAUUGAGAAUUCAACUAUUAGUUUUUCCUGGAACUAACCCCUGCGGGAUGAGUUCAGCGCUGCAGAACAACCCCUGGGGACAUCCAUGGUGUCAUCCACACAGGAAGAGGAAGCUGGAAAGACAUAGGAGGUUUUGGCUACCAGCUUUGAUUUUUAUUUCAAACAGUUUUGUGAGGAGGAUAAAUAAAAAGUUAAAUGUGUAAAGGUAAGGAAUGAGCUAAUUAUGGAGGAACCAACUGCAUACAAAGGUAAUAUUUGGCUUUAUCCCCACCCUGACCUGUUCAGUGCUUUGACAUAUUUAUUAUUUUUUUUUCUUAAAAGAUUUUAUUUAUUUAUUCAUGAGAGACAGAGAAAGAGAGAGAGAGGCAGAGACACAGGCAGAGAGAGAAG